CUCCUUAGGUUUCCAUCAGCAGCUUCAUCACAGAGACUUCUGGCUGACCUUUUUGUUUUUCCCCAGUUUGAAAAACUUCCAUUGCUUAUUAGGCCAUAAUGAGAAAUUUCUGAAACAACAUAUGUGAACAUCUGAGAAAAAAAAACUACUUGCUCCUGCUGGUUGCAAAAGAUUAAAGUAGCCUCUUAUGAAUCCAGUGCUUCUUCUGAGGCAGAACUGUUGAGGGAAACAAGGCUGUUCACACUCCAAGCGAAGCUGAAAUGGAAAGUUUUAGAACUAACACUCAUUGAUGCCUUUUGCUAAACUAAUAUAUUGAUCCUUAAACGAAUGUACUGAUGGCUACUGCUAAACAAACCAGCCUAUAUCACCCCAACUAUCUGAUUCUUCCUUUUUUUUUUUUUUUUUUCCAGGUAUUGGUGCCAUCUCUGAAGAACAUCUCAUUAAAUUUUGGUCUUGUCUGUCCAGCACCAGAAAUUAAUAGUCUUCCAACAUAACAAGCCUAUUGGGUUCUUCCAGAUACUGAUGCCUGCAAUAUUCAAACUCCUCACUCUGUCAAAAACUGUGAAGUUUAUUUGCAUACUUCCUUCUAAUGAAAUCAAGAGCUCAGUGCACCGUAAAGGGGUCAGACUGAGGAAGACGUCGAGCCUUCGCGAGGAAGACUUCUGACUUCAUCCCCACAACCACCAGAGGGAGACCCCUAUUAUGGACAGCGCAUGCACUGGGGGAGGGGAAGUAUGUAAAUGAGUUUCUGGAAGAAUACUG
Molecule: long non-coding RNA, 762 nt
Organism: Gallus gallus (chicken)
Lineage: Eukaryota; Metazoa; Chordata; Aves; Galliformes; Phasianidae
Source: Ensembl